GUGGGGAAUAUUGCACAAUGGGCGCAAGCCUGAUGCAGCCAUGCCGCGUGUGUGAAGAAGGCCUUCGGGUUGUAAAGCACUUUCAGCGGGGAGGAAGGCGUUAAGGUUAAUAACCUUGGCGAUUGACGUUACCCGCAGAAGAAGCACCGGCUAACUCCGUGCCAGCAGCCGCGGUAAUACGGAGGGUGCAAGCGUUAAUCGGAAUUACUGGGCGUAAAGCGCACGCAGGCGGUCUGUCAAGUCGGAUGUGAAAUCCCCGGGCUCAACCUGGGAACUGCAUUCGAAACUGGCAGGCUAGAGUCUUGUAGAGGGGGGUAGAAUUCCAGGUGUAGCGGUGAAAUGCGUAGAGAUCUGGAGGAAUACCGGUGGCGAAGGCGGCCCCCUGGACAAAGACUGACGCUCAGGUGCGAAAGCGUGGGGAGCAAACAGGAUUAGAUACCCUAGUAGUCC
Molecule: ribosomal RNA, 450 nt
Filed under: uncultured bacterium
Lineage: Bacteria
Description: partial 16S ribosomal RNA
Rfam family: Bacterial small subunit ribosomal RNA
Source: RNAcentral